CCUACGGGGGGCAGCAGUCGAGAAUCAUUCACAAUGGGGGAAACCCUGAUGGUGCGACGCCGCGUGGGGGAAUGAAGGUCUUCGGAUUGUAAACCCCUGUCAUGUGGGAGCAAAUUAAAAAGAUAGUACCACAAGAGGAAGAGACGGCUAACUCUGUGCCAGCAGCCGCGGUAAUACAGAGGUCUCAAGCGUUGUUCGGAAUCACGGGGCGUAAGGCGUGCGUAGGCUGUUUCGUAAGUCGUGUGUGAAAGGCGCGGGCUCAACCCGCGGACGGCACAUGAUACUGCGAGACUAGAGUAAUGGAGGGGGAACCGGAAUUCUCGGUGUAGCAGUGAAAUGCGUAGAUAUCGAGAGGAACACUCGUGGCGAAGGCGGGUUCCUGGACAUUAACUGACGCUGAGGCACGAAGGCCAGGGGAGCGAAAGGGAUUAGAUACCCUUGUAGUC
This 446-nucleotide ribosomal RNA is filed under the name uncultured bacterium. RNAcentral describes it as "partial 16S ribosomal RNA". It matches the Rfam family "Bacterial small subunit ribosomal RNA", at positions 338 to 795 of the family's 1533-position model. The record is from RNAcentral.